RNAcentral lists this transfer RNA (74 nucleotides) under Mojavia pulchra JT2-VF2. It matches the Rfam family "tRNA". Rfam says of the family: Transfer RNA (tRNA) molecules are approximately 80 nucleotides in length. Their secondary structure includes four short double-helical elements and three loops (D, anti-codon, and T loops). Lineage: Bacteria; Bacillati; Cyanobacteriota; Cyanophyceae; Nostocales; Nostocaceae. RNAcentral also lists the same sequence under 1 other name. The record is from Rfam by way of RNAcentral.
GUGUCUGAAGUCAAAGUGGUCGAGACGCUGGUUUGUGGAACCAGUCAUAACGGGUUCGAGUCCCGUCAGACACC